Mustela erminea (ermine) is the source of this 953-nucleotide long non-coding RNA. RefSeq lists it as uncharacterized. The record is from RefSeq and is a predicted model, not a curated record. The transcript is spliced from 2 exons. NCBI's taxonomy places the organism in Eukaryota, Metazoa, Chordata, Mammalia, Carnivora, Mustelidae.
GCCCGGGGGGUCUGCCUCUCCACUAGCUGACGGAAAGGGAUUUUAGGGACCCUCAAGGAGCUUGGGGUGUGUUCUCUGAAGAUCAAGGAAAUGGGGAAGUGGUCAGCUUCCUAACAACGUAGGAAAGAGAGCUGGCUGUGGGCAUUAGAGCUCCUCCCUAGAAUCCACGGGCCCGAAGCGUGAUGCAGCCAUGCUGUGGAGCAGAGGUAGGUCGCUCACUCAAGAGGUGCGAGGUUUCCUUAGAUCCUGCGCGUAGGGCUGCCCAGAGAGGGGCUGAGCAACAGCAGAGAGAAGCUGGAGCUUCACCCUGUGCGCAGAACAGCAGCCAUUUGGAGCGGGGUACAUCCUCCCUCCCCUGUCAAAGGAACAUCCCAGCGAGGAGAAGGUGGGUCUCCAAAACCAAGAAAGGGAAAGUGUUGGCUCUCGCUCCUUCCCUGCCCAUCUCCGGGUGGUGGUAGUCGAGUAAGGUCUUACCUCACCUCCCUCCCUCCCAGCCACCGCCUACUCCCCCGCCCUGAAGAAGAUAGAAACCUCUCCAAGGAACUCAGGAUGAGAAGGAGAAGCUCCAGGCACAUGGGACGAUUUCAUAUCUCUGAAGUGAAGAUAGGACCGUGAGACUUGCUUUGGGCAAUGAAAUGUAAGUAGAAGUGAUCUGAAAGCAGGGACGUGACCAUUACUGAGGGCACUGUCUUCUCCUGCUACAGCGAUUAGGAAAACCAUUGUUGAUAUUGUAGGGAUUUGGGAAGUUUGCCCAAAUACACGUGGACUUUUUGUGAGUCACAACAAUCUCAUGUUGUGAGAUUGGAGCAUUUGUUUCUGCAGCAAAACACAGUCUAUCCUGAAUAACGCAUUGUAGAAAGAGAGGUUGCAUGUGGAGGUCCUCUUCAAAACAAAGCAAAGGACAAAGGUUUUUCAGAAAAUGUCCUGGUUUUCAUUAGACUAAAAAAAAAAAA